GUGCUGAGGUGACUUUCAUGUCUGUGCUGCAGCAUUUCUUUCCUCAGUGUUGCAGGAAUUGUGAUCUUUUCUCCUUUGAAAAGUAUUCCUUCUGCUACAUGAAGUUCCUCACGAAAGUUCCAGUUCUCUUGUACAGCAGAAGGGGCUCCGCUCCGUGGUGUGGGCCAGCUAGUUCCAGUUCUCUUGUACAGCAGAAGGGGCUCCGCUCCGUGGUGUGGGCCAGCUAGUUCCAGUUCUCUUGUACAGCAGAAAGGGCUCCGCUCCGGAAUGUGGACCAUCUAGUUUGCACAAUCUGCUGCAGUUUUCUCAGACUUGCUUCCCUGAUCUCAUCCAGUUUGGUUACAGCCACAGGCUCCUUUCUCCAGCUCUGGCCAGCACCUGCCUCAGUUUGUGUUCGUGUUCUUCUCAUGAAGCUCCCCAGACAAGCACAUCAUCGACAUAGGUUUCCACACCCUCUAUCCCAUCAAACAGCUGCUUCACUGUUCUGUGGAACACCUCCAGAGCUGAAUUAAUACCAAAAGAUACUUAUUGCUUUCUCCAGCGUGAGGUCAACUUCUCUCAAAAGCCGUUCUCUCAGAGAAUCAUUUGCAUUUCUGUAAAUUAUUCUGUCUCAG
Carcharodon carcharias (great white shark) is the source of this 614-nucleotide long non-coding RNA. RefSeq lists it as uncharacterized. Lineage: Eukaryota; Metazoa; Chordata; Chondrichthyes; Lamniformes; Lamnidae. The transcript is spliced from 3 exons. The record is from RefSeq and is a predicted model, not a curated record.